Molecule: ribosomal RNA, 301 nt
Filed under: uncultured bacterium
Lineage: Bacteria
Description: partial 16S ribosomal RNA
Rfam family: Bacterial small subunit ribosomal RNA
Source: RNAcentral
CAGUAGCCACGGUAAUACGUAGGGUGCGAGCGUUAAUCGGAAUUACUGGGCGUAAAGCGUGCGCAGGCGGUUGUGUAAGACAGGUGUGAAAUCCCCGGGCUUAACCCGGGAACUGCGCUUGUGACUGCACAGCUAGAGUAUGGCAGAGGGGGGUGGAAUUCCACGUGUAGCAGUGAAAUGCGUAGAGAUGUGGAGGAACACCGAUGGCGAAGGCAGCCCCCUGGGCCAAUACUGACGCUCAUGCACGAAAGCGUGGGGAGCAAACCGGAUUAGAUACCCCCGUAGUCCCUGUCUCUUAUAC